UUAUCCCUGCCAUAAAGUCGCACUGUUAUUAAUGAAAUUAGUCUUCCAUCUUGUAAUAUCAUCCAGAACGAUGAUGAUGAGGUAAUAAGACAAGUAUCAUGGUCAUCGAUAGCCUUUCAUCAGGAAAUAUAUAGCUGAGAUAUUACCUUGAAAAAAAAACUGCCGAUGGCAUUAUAAUAGCUCUGUAGCCAUACAUUCGAAGAGCAAGUGAUUAUGUAUUAACCGUCUUUAAAGCAGCAAAAAACUAACAAACAUA
Molecule: long non-coding RNA, 256 nt
Organism: Leptinotarsa decemlineata (Colorado potato beetle)
Lineage: Eukaryota; Metazoa; Arthropoda; Insecta; Coleoptera; Chrysomelidae
Source: RefSeq, a predicted model, not a curated record